CUUCGACGGCGCCGCCUAGGAACGCGGAGAAAAUAUGACAAAGGAACGGCCAAAAAUAAAAAGAAAGACCUUUCUUUUGAAAAAACAAACAAAAAAAAAGGAAUGCAACACGAGGACUUCCCAGGAGGUCACCCAUCCUAGUACUACUCUCGCCCAAGCACGCUUAACUUCGGAGUUCUGAUGGGAUCCGGUGCUUUAGUGCUGGUAUGAUCGCAUCGGACAUACCGUGCGUUCUCCUCCCCUUUAUGCCCGCGCCUCCGUGUACGGCCCGCCCAUAGCUCCUUCGACGGCGCCGCCUAGGAACGCGGAGAAAAUAUGACAAAGGAACGGCCAAAAAUAAAAAGAAAGACCUUUCUUUUGAAAAAACAAACGCCUCAGUGUACGGCCCGCCCAUAGCUCCUUCGACGGCGCCGCCUAGGAACGCGGAGAAAAUAUGACAAAGGAACGGCCAAAAAUAAAAAGAAAGACCUUUCUUUUGAAAAAACAAACAAAAAAAAGGAAUGCAACACGAGGACUUCCCAGGAGGUCACCCAUCCUAGUACUACUCUCGCCCAAGCACGCUUAACUUCGGAGUUCUGAUGGGAUCCGGUGCUUUAGUGCUGGUAUGAUCGCAUCCGACAUACCGUGCGUUCUCCUCCCCUUUAUGCCCGCGCCUCCGUGUACGGCCCGCCCAUAGCUCCUUCGACGGCGCCGCCUAGGAACGCGGAGAAAAUAUGACAAAGGAACGGCCAAAAAUAAAAAGAAAGACCUUUCUUUUGAAAAAACAAACGCCUCCGUGUACGGCCCGCCCAUAGCUCCUUCGACGGCGCCGCCUAGGAACGCGGAGAAAAUAUGACAAAGGAACGGCCAAAAAUAAAAAGAAAGACCUUUCUUUUGAAAAAACAAACAAAAAAAAGGAAUGCAACACGAGGACUUCCCAGGAGGUCACCCAUCCUAGUACUACUCUCGCCCAAGCACGCUUAACUUCGGAGUUCUGAUGGGAUCCGGUGCUUUAGUGCUGGUAUGAUCGCAUCCGACAUACCGUGCGUUCUCCUCCCCUUUAUGCCCGCGCCUCCGUGUACGGCCCGCCCAUAGCUCCUUCGACGGCGCCGCCUAGGAACGCGGAGAAAAUAUGACAAAGGAACGGCCAAAAAUAAAAAGAAAGACCUUUCUUUUGAAAAAACAAACAAAAAAAAGGAAUGCAACACGAGGACUUCCCAGGAGGUCACCCAUCCUAGUACUACUCUCGCCCAAGCACGCUUAACUUCGGAGUUCUGAUGGGAUCCGGUGCUUUAGUGCUGGUAUGAUCGCAUCCGACAUACCGUGCGUUCUCCUCCCCUUUAUGCCCGCGCCUCCGUGUACGGCCCGCCCAUAGCUCCUUCGACGGCGCCGCCUAGGAACGCGGAGAAAAUAUGACAAAGGAACGGCCAAAAAUAAAAAGAAAGACCUUUCUUUUGAAAAAACAAACAAAAAAAAGGAAUGCAACACGAGGACUUCCCAGGAGGUCACCCAUCCUAGUACUACUCUCGCCCAAGCACGCUUAACUUCGGAGUUCUGAUGGGAUCCGGUGCUUUAGUGCUGGUAUGAUCGCAUCCGACAUACCGUGCGUUCUCCUCCCCUUUAUGCCCGCGCCUCCGUGUACGGCCCGCCCAUAGCUCCUUCGACGGCGCCGCCUAGGAACGCGGAGAAAAUAUGACAAAGGAACGGCCAAAAAAAAAAGAAAGACCUUUCUUUUGAAAAAACAAACUAAAAAAAGGAAUGCAACACGAGGACUUCCCAUGAGGUCACCCAUCCUAGUACUACUCUCGCCCAAGCACGCUUAACUUCGGAGUUCUGAUGGGAUCCGGUGCUUUAGUGCUGGUAUGAUCGCAUCCGACAUACCGUGCGUUCUCCUCCCCUUUAUGCCCGCGCCUCCGUGUACGGCCCGCCCAUAGCUCCUUCGACGGCGCCGCCUAGGAACGCGGAGAAAAUAUGACAAAGGAACGGCCAAAAAUAAAAAGAAAGACCUUUCUUUUGAAAAAACAAACAAAUAAAAGGAAUGCAACACGAGGACUUCCCAGGAGGUCACCCAUCCUAGUACUACUCUCGCCCAAGCACGCUUAACUUCGGAGUUCUGAUGGGAUCCGGUGCUUUAGUGCUGGUAUGAUCGCAUCCGACAUACCGUGCGUUCUCCUCCCCUUUAUGCCCGCGCCUCCGUGUACGGCCCGCCCAUAGCUCCUUCGACGGCGCCGCCUAGGAACGCGGAGAAAAUAUGACAAAGGAACGGCCAAAAAUACAAAGAAAGACCUUUCUUUUGAAAAAACAAACAAAUAACAGGAAUGCAACACGAGGACUUCCCAGGAGGUCACCCAUCCUAGUACUACUCUCGCCCAAGCACGCUUAACUUCGGAGUUCUGAUGGGAUCCGGUGCUUUAGUGCUGGUAUGAUCGCAUCCGACAUACCGUGCGUUCUCCUCCCCUUUAUGCCCGCGCCUCCGUGUACGGUCCGACCAUAGCUCCUUCGACGGCGCCGCCUAGGAACGCGGAGAAAAUAUGACAAAGGAACGGCCAAACAUCAAAAGAAAGACCUGUCUUCUGACAGCACGAACCAACAAAAGGAAUGCAACACGAGGACUUCCCAGGAGGUCACCCAUCCUAGUACUACUCUCGCCCAAGCACGCUUAACUUCGGAGUUCUGAUGGGAUCCGGUGCUUUAGUGCUGGUAUGAUCGCAUCCGACAUACCGUGCGUUCUCCUCCCCUUUAUGCCCGCGCCUCCGUGUACGGCCCGCCCAUAGCUCCUUCGACGGCGCCGCCUAGGAACGCGGAGAAAAUAUGACAAAGGAACGGCCAAAAAUAAAAAGAAAGACCUUUCUUUUGAAAAAACAAACAAAAAAAAGGAAUGCAACACGAGGACUUCCCAGGAGGUCACCCAUCCUAGUACUACUCUCGCCCAAGCACGCUUAACUUCGGAGUUCUGAUGGGAUCCGGUGCUUUAGUGCUGGUAUGAUCGCAUCCGACAUACCGUGCGUUCUCCUCCCCUUUAUGCCCGCGCCUCCGUGUACGGCCCGCCCAUAGCUCCUUCGACGGCGCCGCCUAGGAACGCGGAGAAAAUAUGACAAAGGAACGGCCAAAAAUAAAAAGAAAGACCUUUCUUUUGAAAAAACAAACAAAAAAAAGGAAUGCAACACGAGGACUUUCCAGGAGGUCACCCAUCCUAGUACUACUCUCGCCCAAGCACGCUUAACUUCGGAGUUCUGAUGGGAUCUGGUGCUUUAGUGCUGUUAUGAUCGCAUCCGACAUACCGUGCGUUCUCGUCCCCUUUAUGCCCGCGCCUCCGUGUACGGCCCGCCCAUAGCUCCUUCGACGGCGCCGCCUAGGAACGCGGAGAAAAUAUGACAAAGGAACGGCCAAAAAUAAAAAGAAAGACUUUUCUUUUGAAAAAACAAACAAAAAAAAGGAAUGCAACACGAGGACUUCCCAGGAGGUCACCCAUCCUAGUACUACUCUCGCCCAAGCACGCUUAACUUCGGAGUUCUGAUG
This 3498-nucleotide long non-coding RNA is filed under the name Sorghum bicolor (sorghum). RNAcentral describes it as "long non-coding RNA (SBIC_LNC015499)". The record is from RNAcentral. Lineage: Eukaryota; Viridiplantae; Streptophyta; Magnoliopsida; Poales; Poaceae.